RNAcentral lists this long non-coding RNA (1588 nucleotides) under Pan troglodytes (chimpanzee). Its description in RNAcentral is "long non-coding RNA NONPTRT003784". Lineage: Eukaryota; Metazoa; Chordata; Mammalia; Primates; Hominidae. The record is from RNAcentral.
UUUGGACAGAACUUACGCUGAGGAGGAGGCACUUGUUUUCCUUGAUGGCCCCCAGGCAGCCGAGGAAGCCCGUCACCAUGACAAUGGUGCCUAUGGCGAUGACCAGGUUGGCUGCAGACAACGAAGGGAAGCUGGGGGAGAAGGUGGCAAAGUUGCCUUGGGACACGGAGAGCCAGAUGCCCACUCCCAGCAGCCCACAGCCACAGAGCUGGAAAGGAAGGAAAGCCCAUUAGCCUGGCGCUGCUCUCACACUCGUCAAUGGACCUGGGAACACUGCAGGUCCCCACCCCAUGCUCUGAGACACAGACAAAGUGAGAACCGACAAGGUGAGAACGGGACUACCGUCGGGCUGCAGACCCGAAGCAUGUCGGCUGUGUGACCCAGACGGUCCCCUAGCCUCUCUGUGCCUCAGUCUCCCCAUGUGACAACGGAGACUGUGCCAGUUUCAAGAGCCUCCCAGGUCAUUCUGAGGAUGGAUUAAACCACACAGAGGCAAAAGUGCAUAACAAAUACAUGGAAGGUACUGGACACAUGUGAGUGGUUAGGUUACUCUGCGUGAUAGAGAAGAGGCCCCAGUGUCCAAGACGGAGGCCUGGUGAGAGGGGAGAACUGGGGUCAGGAAAAGCAAGAAAGACUUCAUCUCUGGAGGUGGGAAGGGACCCUCGGAGUCGGGUUUCUUGGAGCCAGAACUUCCAGCGACUGUGUCCUGUUACUCUGACCCGAAGGGCCAUUUGUCCACUGGAGUCUGAAGAACAAUUUCCCACAGAUGGAGAAAGGAGGCAGUCAUCGGCUGGCUGGGGGCCUGGCCAGUGUGCGGGACGUGGGAGUCCAUGGCUGCCUUCACCACCCAUCCAAUAAGCUGGUCUCUGGCAUGAUCGGCCCCAAAACCAAAAAGCAACUCUCCCCAACAGCACCCCUGGGGCUGCCGGCGCCACCAGCUCCACCUGGGGAAGCUUCCAUUUCACAGGCUGCAAAUCUCCACGUCUGCCUUAUUUUAUGCUCGAUAUAGCUGGCACUCCCCGACUCCCUCCGCCAGCUCAUGGGAAGUGUGCUGAGUCUGAGGAGCCAAUCAAUCAGUGAAACAGUAUUUACUGAGUGCCUACAGCAUGCAGUGUGCCAUGCCAGAAAAGCUACAACCACUUUAAAGACCUGUUUUCCAGGGGCCUCUGUUCUGGCUGGAUGGGAGCAAUCAAAGUGCAAAAUCUACCACUCCCAGGUGGGAUGGACUGGUGCCCAGUCAACGCUACGGGCGCUCAGAGGAGGCAAUCACUGUCGCAGUCACGGAAGCCAGUUGAAGGAGGAGCCAGACCAGCUUGAGAGCUGGGGACGACUCAUACCAGGAGGCUACGGAGGAGCGGUGAGAAAUGGUCCAAUUUGAGAUGUUUUGAAGGUGGCAUUGACAGGCCUUGCUGGGCUUUGAAGAAUGAAUAGGAUUUUGAUAAAUGGGGAACCAGAAAGGUGGGCAUGAAGAAAAAGGGCGAUCUGGUCUGGUCCGUGCGCUGACUCCGGAGGAGGGAAAGGGUGCAGGCCCCCAGCACAGAGAAAAGCCUCAAGGCAUCAGGCUGUAUCAGGAUCUUCUUUGUGAUCA